This 70-nucleotide transfer RNA is filed under the name Salmo salar (Atlantic salmon). It matches the Rfam family "tRNA". Rfam says of the family: Transfer RNA (tRNA) molecules are approximately 80 nucleotides in length. Their secondary structure includes four short double-helical elements and three loops (D, anti-codon, and T loops). The record is from Rfam by way of RNAcentral. Lineage: Eukaryota; Metazoa; Chordata; Actinopteri; Salmoniformes; Salmonidae.
UCCUGUGUGGCUCAGUUGGUAGAGCAUGGUGUUUGCAACGCCAGGGUUGUGUGCUCGAUUCCCACGGGGG